AUGGAUGGAAGGAUGAAGGUGUAUUUCUCAGAGGCGUCAGUGGUCGGAGCCUUUGCGCCCGCACACAGCCGCGCGCGCGCGCAGACGCUCGCACUCUCGCUCGAGAGUCUGAAGAAAAGCUGCGUUCCUCCUUGAGCGGGACAGAGAAGUGAGUUUAACACCGAUCAAAACUUCAACGAUUCACUCAGUGCCCGAUGUGUUUUCCUCAGCGGAACGCGCGAACAUCUGAUGGCGGAUUUUAGUCGAUCGCGAGUGAAGAUGUUGACAGGACUGAGCAUCACACUUCAAUAAGAGGCUUCAUUUACAGACCAACACUGAAGUGCAUUGUGGGGGAUUUCUACCGUUCCUGAAACACCAGCGCCACACUCUCUGAGGAGACCCAUUUCCAUCUCAAAGGUGUGUAACCUGUGAAUGUGCAGAUGAUCCGGGCAGGACGACAGAUCGGGACGUUUUGACUGCUUCGCGCGGCCACAGACAGACGGACAGACGCAGCGCAGCCGGCCGUCAGUGUGGAGUAACUGUGGCGAGAGAGAGAAGCGCGUGUGUGUGUUUGUGAGGCAGCGACACACACACGCUCAUGUCCUGCUGGUGUAGGCGGGCGGCUCGGGUCUCAGGGAUGGAGCUACAGGUCUGGAUGGAAACUGGGCGGACGCGACUGCUGGUUUUUUGGGGUCUGAUGUCGCUGCUCUCGUCCGUUCAGGGUGAGUAUCGUGUACUUUCUGCAGUCGUCGGGACGGGUGAAUCUAUUUUUUGUGUGCUGGUAUUUAUGUCGCGUUAUGAUCCGAGCGCUUAAGUUAUGUCUGUUUGUGUCUAAACCCCCCCGUCUCCUUUCAUGUUUGGAUUAUUUGUCGGACGCUCGCCAUGGCUGCGUCUGCCAAAUAUGCACUGGGGAGAAGUGCAAAAUACACCCCGUCUGGAGUAUUCAUGAUGCGUACUGUUUGCAUU
Long non-coding RNA from Triplophysa rosa, 945 nucleotides. RefSeq lists it as uncharacterized. The transcript is spliced from 5 exons. The record is from RefSeq and is a predicted model, not a curated record. NCBI's taxonomy places the organism in Eukaryota, Metazoa, Chordata, Actinopteri, Cypriniformes, Nemacheilidae.